AUUGAACGCUGGCGGCAGGCCUAACACAUGCAAGUCGAGCGGAUGAAGGGAGCUUGCUCCUGGAUUCAGCGGCGGACGGGUGAGUAAUGCCUAGGAAUCUGCCUGGUAGUGGGGGAUAACGUCCGGAAACGGGCGCUAAUACCGCAUACGUCCUGAGGGAGAAAGUGGGGGAUCUUCGGACCUCACGCUAUCAAAUGAGCCUAGGUCGGAUUAGCUAGUUGGUGGGGUAAAGGCCUACCAAGGCGACGAUCCGUAACUGGUCUGAGAGGAUGAUCAGUCACACUGGAACUGAGACACGGUCCAGACUCCUACGGCAGGCAGCAGUGGGGAAUAUUGGACAAUGGGCGAAAGCCUGAUCCAGCCAUGCCGCGUGUGUGAAGAAGGUCUUCGGAUUGUAAAGCACUUUAAGUUGGGAGGAAGGGCAGUAAGUUAAUACCUUGCUGUUUUGACGUUACCAACAGAAUAAGCACCGGCUAACUUCGUG
This 484-nucleotide ribosomal RNA is filed under the name uncultured bacterium. Its description in RNAcentral is "partial 16S ribosomal RNA". It matches the Rfam family "Bacterial small subunit ribosomal RNA", at positions 30 to 507 of the family's 1533-position model. The record is from RNAcentral.